AGUGACGCGGCAAAAGCUCAAAUUUGAAAUCUGGUACCUUUGGUGCCCGAGUUGUAAUUUGGAGAGUACCACUUUGGGACUGUACUUUGCCUAUGUUCCUUGGAACAGGACGUCAUGGAGGGUGAGAAUCCCGUGUGGCGAGGGUGUCAGUUCUUUGUAAAGGGUGCUCGAAGAGUCGAGUUGUUUGGGAAUGCAGCUCUAAGUGGGUGGUAAAUUCCAUCUAAAGCUAAAUACAGGCGAGAGACCGAUAGCGAACAAGUACAGUGAUGGAAAGAUGAAAAGAACUUUGAAAAGAGAGUGAAAAAGUACGUGAAAUUGUUGAAAGGGAAGGGCAUUUGAUCAGACAUGGUGUUUUGCGCCCCUUGCCUCUCGUGGGCUUGGGACUCUCGCAGCUCACUGGGCCAGCAUCGGUUUUGGCGGCCGGAAAAAACCUAGGGAAUGUGGCUCUGCGCCUCGGUGUAGAGUGUUAUAGCCCUGGGGAAUACGGCCAGCCGGGACCGAGGACUGCGAUACUUGUUAUCUAGGAUGCUGGCAUAAUGGUUAUAUGCCGCCCGUCUUGA
Molecule: ribosomal RNA, 560 nt
Filed under: Nakaseomyces glabratus
Lineage: Eukaryota; Fungi; Ascomycota; Saccharomycetes; Saccharomycetales; Saccharomycetaceae
Description: eukaryotic LSU rRNA
Rfam family: Eukaryotic large subunit ribosomal RNA
Source: RNAcentral